Long non-coding RNA from Alexandromys fortis (reed vole), 2496 nucleotides. RefSeq lists it as uncharacterized. The record is from RefSeq and is a predicted model, not a curated record. The transcript has 5 exons. NCBI's taxonomy places the organism in Eukaryota, Metazoa, Chordata, Mammalia, Rodentia, Cricetidae.
CCUGUGUAUGUGUAGGGACAGGUCCCAGCUGGUGGACAUGCUCAGGGCUGUCACCAAUGACCCACUUGGGUAUGCCACUUCCAAGCUCGCCUGGAGGACCACUUCCCUGGCUGCGGGAGCGGUCGCCUGGUAACCAGGAGAGCAUCCGUAACAUCCGGGAGCAGGAGAAACAGAAAGAACAGAGUCCUUGGUGUUUCAUCACACCUCAGGACUGAAGGACCCUGGGAGAGAAGGAGAACUUUCAGCACGAGCUUCUGGUCCCUGGCGUUGAGCCCUCUCUGUGGACCUCGAAGAUGGCGCUUUUGUGAGGGAAUCUGCUAUGGAGAAGACUUUUCCCAAAGCCGUUAUUUGUCAUUGGCAAACCAGCACAGCCAGAGUCACCUGAGAGAAGUCCAUGGGCUGGAGGGGACUCAUGCUGGGUCUCACACGAAAGCCAAGAGCUGGCCAGGAAGGGGCUUCCUCGGGUUUCUGUUUGAAGUUCCUGCCGUGAGGUCCCUGAAGGAUGGACUGUGACUUGGAAGUGAAAGCCAACUCUGAGCUGACACUGUGCAGCUGCCAGCUGAGAGGCUGAGUCCACUCGUCCACGUAUUUCCCUUGGUCACUUCAGCGGCCUGGACAGCCAACAUGGCAGAGGUGCAGUCUGGCCUGGAAGACCCACCGCUGGACGAGGAGUCGUGGGAGAGCGGCACAAAGUGGAGGGAGCGCUCUUACGACAGGCUUGGUCCUGGCUGGGGCAGUGAGAAGCAGUCCUGACAGAGCCGCCCAUGGCUGCAAGAGGUUGGCUGGUGCACUCUUCUCUGUGCCCUGAGGCUCCACACUGCCCUGGCAGAGCCCAGGACCCUCCUGCACCAGGGAGAGCGCCACGUCACCUCCAGACCCUCCGCGGACUGUCUGCAUUCUACAGGUGAAGGCGCAGAGGUCGGGCAGGACAGGACACAGAGCAGAGGCUGUGGUCCUCAGGCCUGCACCAUCCCACGCCAGGGGAGAGGACUGGUGGCAACCGUCCCAUGAGCGACUGUUGCAUAAUUAGGUGAGGAUGAAAAAUGCUGUUUGUCAUUAAACAAGCAAGCAGGGCAGCAGCGCCUCCGCAACAGCUGGGACGGCUCAGGAAGGCGAUGCUGGCCCGAGGUUGGUUCUGCCGGGAGACCAGAGUGGAGUCUGGAGGACGAGGCUGCACUCCAGGUGCCUUCCUUCCAGCACCAGUAGGCCUUGCUUGCUCCAACCUCAGGAUCGUUGCAUUGAUGGCUCGUCCAGCCUGGACCGCGUGUCCCACACACAGGUCUCCCUGCAGGCCUUCUUCUGCACCUUGGGCAGUCACAGCCCAGAUGUCUCCUGUCCCCCAUCACUGUUCUGCCACUGCUGUGGUCUCUCCAUCACAAUCUUGUCUGCCUAGGCAGACAGUGGAAAGGUAUCUGUCAGGGGCGGAAAGUCAGCCCCCAUGCCAACAUCCCAAAAACACAGUAGGCUCUCAACAUGCAUGUGUGAUGUCAUCUCUGAGUCGCUUUGUCUCUUUUUAGCCCACCCCUCUCCCUGUUCCGUGGCUGUAAGGCCAUUUCACCAGGAAGGGAAACUGGGGCAGGUCACCCCUCUCCAGCCUCCAACUCAAGGCAACUGCAUGGACAGCCUGAAUCUUACCUCACAGUCAUAGAGUCGAGCUGCACGGCCAGAUGCCCAGACACAAAUCUAGGCUUUCGCUGACUGGGGACCCUCCAGCAAGCAGGAGGCUAAGGCAAAAGGCUUGCCAGUUUGAGGCUAACCUGGCCUACAAAGUGAAACCAUGUCUCAAAAGCAAUCCCUUGGAGGCUGGGGAGAUGGCUCAGCAGGUAAGGCACUUACCAUACAAGCAUGAGGGCCCGAGUUCAAUCCCCACAAUUCACAUUAAAAAAAGCCUGGUACUGCAGCCUACCUCUGUAAUCUGAGCCCUGUAGAGGCAAAGACAGAAGGACCCCUGAGACUCACUGACCAGCAACUCUAUCAGAUCUGUGAGACCCUGACUCAAAAAAUAAAAUUCGGAGCACUAGGGAAAGACCCUCAAUGUUAACCUCCAGUCUCCACAUCUCUCCACAUGUGCAUGCCUGUGUAUACACCCCUCCCACAAACGCAAACAAGUAAUAUGAAGAUCUAGGAUGCAGACACUGACGUCAACCUGCACACACAGGAACACAUACGGCAUACACACAAAUUAGCUAAUAAAAAUCAAUUUUAUUUAUUUAUUUGCUUAUUUAUUUUGUUUUUGAGACAGGGUUUCUCUGUAGCUUUGGAGCCUGUCCUGUAACUCGCUCACCUCGAGGCUGGCCUCGAACUCACUCACAGAGAUCCACUGCCUCUCCCUCCCAUGCUGGGAUUAAAGGCAUGUGCAACCAACAUCCAGCUUCAAUUUUACUUUUAAAAAAGACAACAACAACAAAAAACCCCACAAGGAAGUAAGUGUCAUUGUCCUUAUUUUACAAGUGGGGAAACUGAGGCAUGGGGAGAUGAUGUCACUUAAGAACAGAA